Long non-coding RNA from Gadus macrocephalus (Pacific cod), 1817 nucleotides. RefSeq lists it as uncharacterized. The record is from RefSeq and is a predicted model, not a curated record. NCBI's taxonomy places the organism in Eukaryota, Metazoa, Chordata, Actinopteri, Gadiformes, Gadidae. The transcript has 2 exons.
AAAAAAACAUUGUUCAGCACUUAAAGGUUGGGUACGCGAUUUGCGAAACGCCAGCAGAUUUUGAAAAUACACAACUCAAAUGGUCCUACCCCCUCUCCUUCAACGCUGACUCUGACUCCACCCAUUCCAAGUACCUGGACGCGCAAUCAUGCACGAGCGCGAACAGAGAUGCGCGAGAGCGAGCCAGGCUAGCGUAGGUUUUCGUUUAACAACAUGGCACUACAUUCAGCUGUAAAUUGCACCCAGUACCGCGGGAAGUAGGGGUUUUGGGGGUGCUGCAACACCCCCUGUCCGAGGCCCUGUCUUAUCACAGAAAACGAUCAUUUCUAAAAACUCCGGCCAAAGUGGAGAUUUCUGAAAACGCCGGUUAUGUGUUGUCGUAUCAACGGGGAGAAACGGGAUUUUAGGUUCUGAAGCGUCACAUUAUGCACCAGGAAAUGCUUAACGUCAUGUGAGCGUCCGCUGUACCGUAUUGGUCCGAAUAUAAACACAAACCCCAUUGUAAUACGACCUAUAUUUGGAAAAAAGAUUUGAAGACCAGAUCUUGAUUUCAUGAAUAAAUAAAUUGUAUUAAUUGAAAUAAUAUACGAAAAUAAAAAGGCAUAGAAUAAAACACUGCAUUGCCACUAAACAGUAGUGCAAAUAGGCCGUACUGAUGUGUACACCAAAGACUUCCUGACACUCCUCUGCCCCGCUGUGUUCGCUCUGGCUGUGGUCGCUCCGAACUGUUUCGGCCCGUGGCAAAGCGAGUCAUCCUCGCUGCUGUCCAAGGCAUGUUGAGACGCAGCAUUUAUUUAAUGCUCAUAUGUCCUAGUGCUGAAAAAAGGUUAUAUGAAAAAGUGUGAGGGUAGCGGUGGUGCGCUAAACUUGUUCUGUGAGCAGCUGGAUGUGAACCAUGGUGUGAAGGAAGUGAACACAACGAUCGAUUUUCAACUGUGCGCGCAUGCACUGGUGUAAUUGAGCUGCGCUGCUAUAUCUUUUUUAUCAAUGUGACGAGUUGCGAGUCUAGUGCAGGCCGGGUUUUUUUUCCCAGCACCCACUGCUGAGAAUACGUUCUCGCGGCUAUGGUUGCACCAGAUGUUAUAAACAUUAAACGGUCACAUAAAUCAUUACUAUUUUUAGAAAAUGUAUGUUUGUUUCAUAUCAUUGUAUUGGAAGUCCUGGUUUUCACUAGGGUUGCCGCGGUGUGGACAUUUUCACACCGAGUAAUACACUCGUCUCAACACCGGUAUUACCGAGUAUAAACGGUAUAAACUUUGAAACUAGGUCAACCGCCACACAAGCAUCCAGCGCCUAGGAUUAUUCUUGAUUUCAGUUUUUCUCUUUCAACGUUUUUAUUAUCAAUUACUCUCUGAAAAAGAUUUUUCCUUCUCUUUGCUGGUGGUGGUGGUGGUGGUGGUGGUGGGAUGGUGGCGUCUUGUCUGCCAUGGAAAUUGUCUUCUACUGCUAGGUCCAAAUGUGGAUUAACUAGUUCCAGUAGAUACCGCAGGAUAACAACAAACAGGAGCUUGCUCUGGGUCACGAGCUCUGGGUCACGAGUACUGCACGAAGGGGUCGCGCGCGGGGCGCGGGGGAGGGGGGGAGGGGGAGUGCAGUACGACCGUUUGAUUGACGUACUUACUGUCCAAUGAAACUCGGUGGCAAUGGAUAUGAUUGGCUGGAGUUUUUCGAGCCCUGCACGUUCCACAGAUGAUUGACAAGUUUAAUUUUCAUGUCAGUACUUCUAACUCAGUGGCUGUAAGCGGGUUAUGAUAAGGAUUUCAAGUAAUUUUGCAAAAAUGGCCAAAAAAGCAAAUCACCUAUGCAACCUUUAAUAA